This 230-nucleotide unclassified non-coding RNA is filed under the name plant metagenome. Its description in RNAcentral is "partial contains small subunit ribosomal RNA, internal transcribed spacer 1, and 5.8S ribosomal RNA". The record is from RNAcentral.
UCUCCGUAGGUGAACCUGCGGAGGGAUCAUUACCGAGCUCAUGCCCUUACGGGUAGAUCUCCCACCCUGUGUUAUUAUUACCUUUGUUGCUUUGGCGGGCCGCCAGGCUCCGGUCAGGCUAUCGGGUUCGGCUGGUAAGCGCCCGCCAGAGGACCCUAUAUCCUGAUUAUUAGUGUCGUCUGAGUACUAUAUAAUAGUUAAAACUUUCAACAACGGAUCUCUUGGUUCUG